This is a long non-coding RNA of Symphalangus syndactylus (siamang), 625 nucleotides long. RefSeq lists it as uncharacterized. The record is from RefSeq and is a predicted model, not a curated record. Lineage: Eukaryota; Metazoa; Chordata; Mammalia; Primates; Hylobatidae.
CUCAGUGAAGCUUUAGGGGCCAUGAAGUUGAGACCCGUGACCUGAUGAGAGAGUGAAGGCAGCACUUUGUCCUCAUCCACAUCACUGCAUUUAUCUCAGCACCAUGUCCACAUCUUCUGCCAACAUUGACAUCAAGGACACCAGUCAUAUUGGAUAUUAGGACUACACUCAUGAUGUCAUUUUAACCUGAUCAUCUGCAAAGACCCUAUUUCCAAGAUGCCUCUUUUCUAUCUUCCCCCUCAGUGGAUGCCUUGGUUUCCUAUUUCCCUAAGAAGAUAGGAACAAUCAGAAGACAGCCCCCAUGGCCGCUCACCAACGCACCCACCUGUCUCCCAGCCUCUGUGACCCCGGGCUCUGCCUCCUCACCUGCCACGAGGGAGACCAGCCCCAUCCCUGACACAGCCCCUUCUCCAGGGGGUGCACUGAGUGCCUGCCCCUUUGUCUACUCGACAGACACUUCUCCCUUCUCUUUCCUUCACAGUCAGCAUUUUCCUCUUUAUGGGGUCUUUCUUACCAAUAUGGCCCAAUCUUAAACAAAAUAUGUUUUGCUCCAAUGUCAUCUCCAGCUGAGACCCUUGUCUGUUUCUCUUCACACAGCCUCCCUGGAAUAAAUGUUUGCAUUCUC